AUUCCAGCUCCAAUAGCGUAUAUUAAAGUUGUUGCGGUUAAAAAGCUCGUAGUUGGAGUUCUGCCAGGUGCCACCUGUCCGCCCCAGUGGUGAGUACGUGGUGCGCAUUUGGCCCUUUCAAGGGGAGCGUAUUUGCACUUAAUUGUGUGGUGCGGGAUCCUUGACUUUUACUUUGAGGAAAUAAGAGUGUUCCAAGCAGGCUCUCGUCGUGCAUAGCUCAGCAUGGAAUAAUAGCAUUGGACCUCGAUUCUAUUUUGUUGGUUGGAGGCCAAGGUAAUGAUUAAUAGGGAUAGUUGGGGGUAUUCAUAUUUAAUUGUCAGAGGUAAAAUUCUUGGAUUUAUGAAAGAUGAACUCAUGCGAAAGCAUUUACCAAGGAUGUUUUCAUUG
This 387-nucleotide ribosomal RNA is filed under the name Syndiniales sp. RNAcentral describes it as "partial small subunit ribosomal RNA". It matches the Rfam family "Eukaryotic small subunit ribosomal RNA", at positions 582 to 975 of the family's 1831-position model. The record is from RNAcentral. Lineage: Eukaryota; Dinophyceae; Syndiniales.